This 254-nucleotide ribosomal RNA is filed under the name uncultured bacterium. RNAcentral's name for it is "partial 16S ribosomal RNA". It matches the Rfam family "Bacterial small subunit ribosomal RNA", at positions 524 to 776 of the family's 1533-position model. The record is from RNAcentral.
UACGGGGGGAGCAAGCGUUGUUCGGAUUUACUGGGCGUAAAGGGCGCGUAGGCGGUCGUGACAAGUCACUUGUGAAAUCUCCGGGCUUAACUCGGAACGGUCAAGUGAUACUGUCGGACUAGAGUACAGAAGGGGCAACUGGAAUUCUCGGUGUAGCGGUGAAAUGCGCAGAUAUCAGGAGGAACACCGGUGGCGAAGGCGGGUCUCUGGGCCGAAACUGACGCUGAGGAGCGAAAGCGUGGGGAGCAAACAGG